CAAUAGCGUAUAUUAACGUUGUUGCAGUUAAAAAGCUCGUAGUUGGAUUUCUGGAGGGAGCGUCGGCCCGUAUUUACGAGUGCGUGACGUCUCUGUCCAUCCUUGCGGGAAGGCACGGCAUUGAUUUGUUGUGUCGGAUCGCAUCAUUUACUGUGAAAAAAUUAGAGUUUUCAAAGCAGGCUUUCGCUUGAAUACAUUAGCAUGGAAUAAUAAGAUAGGACUUUGGUGCUAUUUUGUUGGUUGAGCCUAAAGUAAUGAUUAAUAGGGAUAGUUGGGGGCACCUGUAUUGCGUUGUCAGAGGUGAAAUUCUUGGAUUUACGCAAGACAAACAGCUGCGAAAGCGUCUGCCAAGGAUGCUUUCAUUAA
RNAcentral lists this ribosomal RNA (366 nucleotides) under uncultured eukaryote. RNAcentral describes it as "partial 18S ribosomal RNA". It matches the Rfam family "Eukaryotic small subunit ribosomal RNA", at positions 592 to 976 of the family's 1831-position model. The record is from RNAcentral.